This is an RNA transcript of Beta vulgaris subsp. vulgaris (sugar beet), 767 nucleotides long. RefSeq lists it as uncharacterized. The record is from RefSeq and is a predicted model, not a curated record. NCBI's taxonomy places the organism in Eukaryota, Viridiplantae, Streptophyta, Magnoliopsida, Caryophyllales, Amaranthaceae. The transcript has 3 exons.
CAAAAUGAAACACGGAGAACCCACGAAAUAACUCAGGCCCAAAUGAAACACGCAUACCUCUUGUCCCCUCUCUCAUUACCCUAAUCCUUUGUCGUUCCCUCUUCCCUCUUGUCCGCUCAUCAACAAAAUGGUGAAGGCAACUGGUUUCGCUCUUCCCUCUUUUCCUCAAUUCUUUUCGUUCGUAACUAGUGGCUCGAAGUACCGUCUUCAUCAUCUUCACCUGAUUCGAGAAUUGCGGCAACAAAACUUGCGACCUUUUGUCCUUGCCACCACAACUCCAAUAUGCUCCCAGGAUUCGAAAAUCAGGGUUUGCAAAUUGGUGGUGAAAUUAGGUUUGCAAAUUGAAUUGGAUGGGAACCACAAGAAAAAAGAAGGUGAUUUUGUUCGAUGUAGUUGACGAAAACGCCAUAGCUCCAGGCAAAUUAAUGCAGAUGUUCCUUUUUCUUCUGAUGAACCAGGAAGAGCACUUCAUCUCCAAGCUGCACUUUGUCUGGCCUCAGGUGUCGUGUCUAUCUGAGUUUCCUACUCGAGGUAGCCUUGUUGUUCUAGCGAGCUACACUGAUAAUUUAGAUGAGGUAUGAUGUUUCAUUGUGUAUUCUGAUGCUCAGAUGGUUGUCCUGUAUGGACUAAGUGGUUCUUCAAAUGUGAGUGAUCAUUAUUGGAAUCAGGAAUAUGUGAAAGCAAGUCCCUUUAGUUCAAACUGUAAAAAGGAUCCGGAUAUUCUUUUGCCAAAGCAAUUGAUUAAUUGGGUUUCCUCCCUUGAUCAA